GGAAUAUUGCGCAAUGGGGGAAACCCUGACGCAGCAACGCCGCGUGAGUGAGGAAGGUCUUAGGAUUGUAAAACUCUGUUCUUAGGGAAAAAUGAUAUUAUGGCUAAUAUCCAUAGUAAGUGAUGGUACCUAAGUAGAAAGCACCGGCUAACUUCGUGCCAGCAGCCGCGGUAAUACGAAGGGUGCAAGCGUUGUUCGGAAUCAUUGGGCGUAAAGCGCGCGCAGGCGGAUCAGCAAGUCAGGUGUGAAAUCUCGAGGCUCAACCUCGAAACUGCGCCUGAAACUGCUAGUCUAGAAUGUCGGAGGGGGCAGGGGAAUUUCACGUGUAGGGGUAAAAUCCGUAGAGAUGUGAAGGAACACCGGGGGCGAAGGCGCCUGCCUGGACGACUAUUGACGCUGAGGCGCGAAAGCGUGGGGAGCAAAC
RNAcentral lists this ribosomal RNA (424 nucleotides) under uncultured bacterium. RNAcentral's name for it is "bacterial SSU rRNA". It matches the Rfam family "Bacterial small subunit ribosomal RNA", at positions 358 to 773 of the family's 1533-position model. The record is from RNAcentral.